UGGGGAAUAUUGGACAAUGGGCGCAAGCCUGAUCCAGCAAUGCCGCGUGGGUGAAGAAGGUUUUCGGAUUGUAAAGCCCUUUCGGCGGGGACGGUGAUGACGGUACCCGCAGAAGAAGCUCCGGCUAACUUCGUGCCAGCAGCCGCGGUAAUACGCAGGGGGCUAGCGUUGCUCGGAAUGACUGGGCGUAAAGGGCGCGUAGGCGGUGGUCAUAGUCGGGUGUCAAAUUCCUGGGCUUAACCUGGGGGCUGCAUUCGAUGCGUGGCGGCUUGAGUGGGGAAGAGGGUCGUGGAAUUCCCAGUGUAGAGGCGAAAUUCGUAGAUAUUGGGAAGAACACCGGUGGCGAAGGCGGCGACCUGGUCCUUUACUGACGCUGAGGCGCGAAAGCGUGGGGAGCAAACA
Molecule: ribosomal RNA, 402 nt
Filed under: uncultured bacterium
Lineage: Bacteria
Description: bacterial SSU rRNA
Rfam family: Bacterial small subunit ribosomal RNA
Source: RNAcentral